ACAGCAGCAGCCGCGGUAAUACGUAGGUGGCAAGCGUUGUCCGGAAUUAUUGGGCGUAAAGGGCUCACAGGCGGUUUCUUAAGUCUGAUGUGAAAGCCCCCGGCUCAACCGGGGAGGGUCAUUGGAAACUGGGAAACUUGAGUGCAGAAGAGGAGAGUGGAAUUCCACGUGUAGCGGUGAAAUGCGUAGAGAUGUGGAGGAACACCAGUGGCGAAGGCGACUCUCUGGUCUGUAACUGACGCUGAGGAGCGAAAGCGUGGGGAGCGAACAGGAUUAGAUACCCCUGUAGUCCCUGUCUCUUAUAA
RNAcentral lists this ribosomal RNA (305 nucleotides) under uncultured bacterium. RNAcentral's name for it is "partial 16S ribosomal RNA". It matches the Rfam family "Bacterial small subunit ribosomal RNA", at positions 505 to 809 of the family's 1533-position model. The record is from RNAcentral.